Panicum virgatum (switchgrass) is the source of this 2221-nucleotide RNA transcript. It is a transcript of the gene named cyclic phosphodiesterase-like, with no coding region annotated. The transcript has 5 exons. The record is from RefSeq and is a predicted model, not a curated record. Lineage: Eukaryota; Viridiplantae; Streptophyta; Magnoliopsida; Poales; Poaceae.
CUCACCCACCCCUGACCCGCACCCCCAUCCUGGCCGGCCGCCCGCGCGCCCUGCGCCCCACGCCCCAGGCCCCAGGGAGCGCCGAGCGCACGGAGGCCACACGCCGUCCGCCGACCGCCGCACGGAGACCGCAGGCCGCGCCGCCGCUCCCCACCAGCCUGCCCCAUCCGCUCGCGUUGCAGCGCAGGCGCCGCCCGCCCCGCACCUGGAGGCCGCCUGCGAUCCGCACGCAGGUGCAGCAGCACGACGGAAGGUCGGAGACCUCCUGUACGCACGCAGGCGCAGCACCGAGGUGCCCCGCACGGCGACCUUGCUGGCCUCGGCCCCUGAGCCUCCGACCAGCGACCUCCAUUGCGCUUGCGCCCUCCUCGCGCUCCCCACCUUUCCAUUCGCCGCGCCUGACCCCGCUCCCCCGUCUCCGGCUCCGACCUCACCGCCGGUCGGUCUCAGCCCGCAUGGACCCCGCCGACCAGUCGCCGGAGGAGGUGUACUCCGUGUGGGCUCUCCCGCCGGCGCCCAUCCGCGACCGCCUCCGCCGCAUCAUGGAGGGCCUCCGCGCCGCGCACGGCGGCCCUGCCUUCGAGCCGCACGCCACGGUCGUCGGAGACUUCCGUAGCCGCCGAUCGGCAGCCCUCGAGGUGCUCCGCACCGCCGCCGCCGGCGUCCAGCCCUACACCGCCCGUGUCACGGGGGUCGCCCGGGGCAGCUUCUUCUACCAGUGCGUCUACCUUCUCCUCGAGCCCACCCCCGAGGUGGUGGCAGCGAGCGAUUACUGCUGUGGCCACUUCGGUUACAAGGGAAAGACUCCAUUAAUGCCGCACGUCAGCCUCUUAUACGGAGACCUGACAGAUGAGGAGGAGGAGUCAAGGAAGAAGGUAGAGGAGCUGGACAAGGAUAUCUGUGGAUUGGAGUCCGAGAUCUCUGAGCUUGCACUCUAUAGAACAGAUACUGCGGAUAAAAGCUUGGAGUCAUGGGAGUUGGUGGAGGUGUGGCAUCUUGAAACGAAGUGAUUAGUUUCCUCUCCAUGGUGAUUCUGCUGUGAUGUGGCAGGCCAACCUGGAACCAACGUGGGAAGGGGGUAGUUGGCCUUGUAAUAAAUGUGCAGAGACACCCCAUCUUUCUAUUCCUCUAUCAUUCCAGUCUCCCCUACCUCUUCGUAUUCAUUUGUUACGGAGGGGACGAGGCGGCCAUUGCGGAGGGGACGAGGUCGGCGGCUAUUGCCGGUCGCCGGCGAUCGGUGGCGACUGGACAGACAUAGGUUGGCGAGGAGUGGAGGGGCUAGGUGGGCAUCUCAAUCUGGCCAAGACGGUGGCAGCAGCGGUGGAAGAUGGUGGCGAGAUUGCGAUAGCAUGGUGACACUGCACCUGUGUAUGAUGAUGGUAAAGAGGAGUUCUCGGUUGAGGUUCACCAUGGGGGGUUCUUUGUUGGGCAUGGCUAUCUCAGAUCAUAUGUGAGUGGGAAAGUCAGUUGGUUUGAUCAUGUGGAGACAGAUACUUGGUCUCCGCUGUGGCUGGAUCAGUUUGUUGAGGACCUAGGGUACUUAAGGACUGGAAACUUGAAGAUAUAUUGGCUGUUACAGGGAAGGAGAUUUCUGGUUCUCAAAUGCUUCCACAUCUUAGUAGCACUCAGUUGAGCCAAAUGAUGCAAGAGGUAACUCAGCUGAGCCAAUUAUCAUUGUUACAGAUAUUUGUAUUCAAUAGUGCAGCACAGCUUAAUAGCAUCUAUCAUUGAUACAUGAGCCUCAGCCUAGCUUGCUCUCACAACAACGAGGGCCAUUGCCAGAUCCUGACUUCAUCAUGACCAACAGACCAUUGCAAGGUCUGCUCCACUUACAACAGGCACCAAGCAAGGCAAAGCUGCCGCUACAAAGAAGAGAAAGGUGGCAAAGAACACUGAAGUUGCAGCAAGCAAGAAGAACACUGCAGCAAAGAACACUGAGCUGCAUCUAGCAAGAAAAAGACGGCAGCAAAGAGUGGGACUACUUGAUCAAGACUGAGAGAUAGCUGUUUACUUUUGUGAAUGAUAGAUAGCUGUUUGCUUUUGUGCAAGGCAGAGGAGGAUGGUCUGUCUUGUCCUAAUAUUUAUGUAAUGUGGUGGGCACUAGUUUAAGGUCACACUAGCAGCAUCAAACAAUGUGUUAAGUUAUGUAGUGCUUAUCUUGGUUUAAGAGCAUUACUCAUCUGUCAUAUCCAAUGCAAAAUGCAUUUCAUGCUUGUGACUA